ACGGGAGGCAGCAGUGGGGAAUAUUGGGCAAUGGGCGAAAGCCUGACCCAGCAACGCCGCGUGAAGGAAGAAGAUUUUCGGAUUGUAAACUUCUUUUAUGUGGGACGAAGGAAGUGACGGUACCACAUGAAUAAGCCCCGGCUAACUACGUGCCAGCAGCCGCGGUAAUACGUAGGGGGCGAGCGUUAUCCGGAUUUACUGGGUGUAAAGGGCGCGUAGGCGGGGAUGCAAGUCAGAUGUGAAAGCACGAGGCUCAACUUCGUGUCUGCAUUUGAAACUGACGUUCUUGAGUGUUGGAGAGGCUAACGGAACUCCUAGUGUAGCGGUGAAAUGCGUAGAUAUUAGGAAGAACACCAGUGGCGAAGGCGGUUAGCUGGACAAUAACUGACGCUGAGGCGCGAAAGCGUGGGUAGCAAACAGGAUUAGAUACCCUGGUA
RNAcentral lists this ribosomal RNA (437 nucleotides) under uncultured Oscillospiraceae bacterium. RNAcentral describes it as "bacterial SSU rRNA". It matches the Rfam family "Bacterial small subunit ribosomal RNA", at positions 341 to 792 of the family's 1533-position model. Lineage: Bacteria; Bacillati; Bacillota; Clostridia; Eubacteriales; Oscillospiraceae. The record is from RNAcentral.